UACGUAGGGGGCAAGCGUUGUCCGGAUUUAUUGGGCGUAAAGAGCGUGUAGGCGGUCUGGUAGGUCCGUUGUGAAAACUCGAGGCUCAACCUCGAGACGCCGAUGGAAACCCUCAGACUAGAGUCCGGAAGAGGAGAGUGGAAUUCCUGGUGUAGCGGUGAAAUGCGUAGAUAUCUGGAGGAACACCGGUGGCGAAGGCGGCAUUCUGGACCGAUAUUGACGCUGAGGAGCGAAAGCCAGGGGAGUAAACGGG
Molecule: ribosomal RNA, 253 nt
Filed under: uncultured bacterium
Lineage: Bacteria
Description: partial 16S ribosomal RNA
Rfam family: Bacterial small subunit ribosomal RNA
Source: RNAcentral